GAGUGGUAGAGCUGUAUGUAGCUACCCAUCUCAUACCUGAGCUGGGGCUGGACACAGGCAAGUUUCUGUCAUGUCACAGCGGGAGGGAACCUUAUACUCGGGGACGUGACAUGUCUCCUGUGGCAACCUCUUACAGACUAGGAUGGAGGUUUGUGUGUAAGGUCAGAUGUCUAGGCCAGGUCUGCUAUCCUAUUUCCUCUGCUUCAGUCAGCCUCUUCACCCACCCAGAGGCCCCAGGGAGUCCGCUCAGCCGAGUUGGUCACAGCCUUCAUGAAACCCUUUGCCAGGGCUCUAAGCCAGUGAGGCAGAAUGGAGUGUGGGGAACAGAAUAAGGACAGUUAGGAAUGGGACUGGACCCUGGGUGGCAAGCUAAACCCAGCUGAUGAGAGGCUACAGGAUUGGUCCGUCAAUUGGAAGGAGUGUAGGUGGGUCAGCAUGUCCUGUGGUAAGACAAGCUCUUCUCUGGGAGCAGGUAGUGAUCACAGGCCUUGGGACCCAAGGCCUGCCAAGUUAUAGGUCCAACAGAGAGACUUCACCGAUCCCAGCUGUCUGCAGUCUCAGCCAUACCACAGAGAAAAGGCUGGGCUACCGCCUCCCCCUUCUCCCCAGACCCUGUUCCAGGCCCCAGCUGCCUUCCUGGCUGGCUGCUGGCCCUGGCUCUCACCCUAAAGGGAGCCACUGGUAAACAGGAAGUGCUCCCCCAUGCAACGCUCCGGGCGCCAUCAACAGCCCACAGGCCGACAGACAUCCAAGCAGCGGGUUGGCUGUUCCCACCAGCUGCAGGAAAGGGGGUGGACAUGGGACCCUAAGCACUAUGGGUCUGGCUGCUGGGAAGAUGUCUUGGGCAGGGACCCACAGGUGCCCAGAGACUGAACCCCACCAGCACCUACCAUGAUGCAGACACUGACUCUGACUUCUGUCCAUCUUCCCAGAGACUGUCUGAAAGCGGCCCCCAAGUCCCAGAAAGGUGACUCCCCCAGCAUCGACUACACAGAGCUGCUGCAGCACUUUGAAAAAGUCCAGAAACAGCACCUGGAAGUAAGACACCAGCGCAGUGGGCGAGGGGAUCACCUGGACCGCAGAGUUAUCCUCUGAUGUGCCUAGCAUGGAAAAGGGCCCUAGUGGCCUAAGAAGCACUCAGGGUCUCUAAGCUGAGGCCACAAGGAGCCUAAGAACCUGCCUCCAGCAGGGCUGGACCCAACCACCAGCCAGGGUAGGGAGGGGGAUGGUAUUGGCUCUGUCAGCCUCAGCUCCUCCCAGCAGAGCACCUGGACCCCAGCACUGUCAGCUACACUCUGUCCUGGGACCGAUGGAUUCUCUCCUGAGUCGGGACUACAGCCUCAGAAUCCAGAAGCAGCCUCUUUCUAAUCCCUGUCUGUGAGAAGAGCUUGACCUUGGCCCCAGAGCACUGGCAUGGUGUGUGUGCAUAUGUACAUCUGUGUGGAAAUGCACACAGGCCAGCACAAAGACCUCUACAGAAUGAUGUCCAUCCCUGCCCCAAUAAAGAAAUCACAGAAUCC
This 1520-nucleotide long non-coding RNA is filed under the name Mus musculus (house mouse). Its description in RNAcentral is "long non-coding RNA chr8:110718874-110720394". Lineage: Eukaryota; Metazoa; Chordata; Mammalia; Rodentia; Muridae. The record is from RNAcentral.